RNAcentral lists this ribosomal RNA (397 nucleotides) under uncultured bacterium. Its description in RNAcentral is "partial 16S ribosomal RNA". It matches the Rfam family "Bacterial small subunit ribosomal RNA", at positions 523 to 918 of the family's 1533-position model. The record is from RNAcentral.
AUACGUAGGUGGCAAGCGUUGUCCGGAUUUAUUGGGCGUAAAGCGAGCGCAGGCGGUUUCUUAAGUCUGAUGUGAAAGCCCCCGGCUCAACCGGGGAGGGUCAUUGGAAACUGGGAGACUUGAGUGCAGAAGAGGAGAGUGGAAUUCCAUGUGUAGCGGUGAAAUGCGUAGAUAUAUGGAGGAACACCAGUGGCGAAGGCGACUCUCUGGUCUGUAACUGACGCUGAGGCUCGAAAGCGUGGGGAGCAAACAGGAUUAGAUACCCUGGUUGUCCACGCCGUAAACGAUGAGUGCUAAGUGUUGGAGGGUUUCCGCCCUUCAGUGCUGCAGCUAACGCAUUAAGCACUCCGCCUGGGGAGUACGACCGCAAGGUUGAAACUCAAAUGAAUUGACGGGG